UACGUAGGGUGCGAGCGUUAAUCGGAAUUACUGGGCGUAAAGCGUGCGCAGGCGGUUUUGUAAGCCAGGUGUGAAAUCCCCGGGCUCAACCUGGGAAUGGCAUUUGGGACUGCAAGGCUGGAGUGCGGCAGAGGAGACUGGAAUUCCUGGUGUAGCAGUGAAAUGCGCAGAUAUCAGGAGGAACACCGGUGGCGAAGGCGGCACUUUGGGCCGGUAAGC
RNAcentral lists this ribosomal RNA (219 nucleotides) under uncultured bacterium. RNAcentral describes it as "partial 16S ribosomal RNA". It matches the Rfam family "Bacterial small subunit ribosomal RNA", at positions 524 to 740 of the family's 1533-position model. The record is from RNAcentral.